Macaca fascicularis (crab-eating macaque) is the source of this 148-nucleotide unclassified non-coding RNA. It matches the Rfam family "Metazoan signal recognition particle RNA". Rfam says of the family: The signal recognition particle (SRP) is a universally conserved ribonucleoprotein. It is involved in the co-translational targeting of proteins to membranes. NCBI's taxonomy places the organism in Eukaryota, Metazoa, Chordata, Mammalia, Primates, Cercopithecidae. The record is from Ensembl.
GCCAGGUGUGGUGGUGGGCACCUGUAGUCCCAGCUACUCAGGAGGCUGAGGUGGGAGGAUUGCUUGAGCCCAGGAGCUCAAGACUGCAGUGAGCUGUGAUCACGCCAUUGCACUCCAGCCUGGGUGACACAGCAAGACCCUAUCUCAA